RNA transcript from Eutrema salsugineum, 1614 nucleotides. It is a transcript of the gene named luc7-like protein 3, with no coding region annotated. The record is from RefSeq and is a predicted model, not a curated record. The transcript has 9 exons. NCBI's taxonomy places the organism in Eukaryota, Viridiplantae, Streptophyta, Magnoliopsida, Brassicales, Brassicaceae.
GGACAUGAUUAUAUGGACUUAGCCAAUACAGUUUAUCAUCAAUAGACGACGGCCUUCGCCGAUUUCGUUGGCGAACGAAACCCUAAUCAUCACUCCUUCCUCACUUUUUGUUCGUCAUCUCCAGAAUUUGACUCUGCAAUUUCUUGUUUUUUCUCUCUAUUCUGCUCGAUAACUUUCGUCGCUCACCAUGGAUGCUCAACGAGCUCUUUUGGACGAACUUAUGGGUGCAGCUCGUAAUUUGACCGAUGAAGAGAGAAGAGGUUUUAAGGAGAUUAAGUGGGACGAUAGAGAGGUCUGUGCAUUCUAUAUGGUUCGAUUUUGUCCUCAUGACCUCUUCGUCAACACCAAAAGCGAUCUUGGAGCAUGCUCGAGAAUUCAUGAUCCAAAGCUUAAAGAGAGCUUCGAGAAUUCUCCGAGGCAUGAUUCAUAUGUUCCUAAAUUCGAGGCUGAGCUUGUUCAGUUUUGCGAGAAGCUGGUGAAUGAUCUUGACAGGAAGGUAAGGCGUGGACGAGAACGCCUUGCGCAAGAUAUUGAACCUCCUCCACCACCUUCUCUAUCUACAGAAAAGGCUGAACAGUUGUCUGUUCUGGAGGAAAAAGUUAAGAACCUUCUGGAACAAGUGGAAGCACUUGGUGAAGAAGGCAAAGUCGAUGAAGCUGAAGCGCUAAUGAGGAAGGUUGAAGUGCUUAAUACCGAGAAGACAGUGUUGCUACAACGACCAAAUGACAAGGUAUUAGCGAUGGCACAGGAGAAAAAGAUGGCACUGUGUGAGGUUUGUGGUUCAUUCCUUGUGGCUAAUGAUGCUGUAGAAAGGACUCAGUCUCAUGUCACUGGGAAGCAGCAUGUUGGCUAUGGCAUGGUCCGUGAUUUUCUUGCUGAACAAAAAGCUGCUAAAGAUAAAGGAACGGAAGAAGAAAAGCAAGUCAGAGGAAAAGAAGCAGACGAUAAGAGGAAACCUAGGGAGAAGGAAAGCGAGGUUAAGAGGAGUGGUUCUAGUGAUAGAGAAAGAUAUCGUGAUAGGGAUCGAGACAGAGAUGGUGACAGACACAGAGACCGUGGUAGAGAUCAUAGAAAGUCUUAUGACAGGAGAUCAAGGAGUGGGAGAGAAGGUCGUCAUGAUCGAAGCAGGUCACGGUCUCCUCAUGGAAGGUCUGGUCACAGAAGAGUAUCGAGAAGCCCCAUUCGACAGUACUAGUUUGAGAUGAAAACGUGUUGUCUCUGUGGAGCCCCAGGAACUUUGCAAACACUCAUGAGCUAUUCUAAGAGUUUGAAACAUCAUCGGUUAUUUGUUAAGAGGUCAAAAGCGUUGAGACUACAGAAUCGGGAAUAUUGGGGCUCGAAUGACACAUAUACUAUUUGAGGUAACAAAUAUAUGACAGAACUCAUCCUCAUUAGAAGUUGGGUUCAGUUUUUAGUUUGAAUUUUGUUUGUUUUCUUCGAGUUCUCUCUCUGUCUGCACUUAGGUGUAUACGCAGGAGGAACAGUAAUCUUUGGCUAUGGCUUCGAUGACAGUAUCCUCCAAAUCAGCAAAUGGCACCAUUUCGUUUGUCUUCCUCGAAAUCUUUUCAUUAAUGCAAUUUAGUAAAGAGAGACAAAACUUUUCUACUAUCUGUA